GUAUGAGCGGUUGGUUUCUUUACAAAUAAGAGAAAGAAAAAGACAGACACUCUAACAGAACUUUUACGAGAUAAUCAAAUACACCCUUAAUAUCAAACCCAUUGAUCAUGGCUUAGAACAAAAAUCAGUGGCCAUUUUUAUAUUUACAACAAUCAAAUGUUCUCAAAUAGCAACUUAAUAGGACCUUCAAAUUACAAUGAAUCUAAUUACUAAACUAUUAGUAUUGAUAAUAAAACUAAAUCAACGGCCCUGCAUGCUUCACUACCAGACAUAGCUUAGCCAUCAUUCAGGAAGAAAAACUGUUCAAUUUUGAAGCUCAUACUUAAAUAAAUUAUGAGAAUGUCAAUGAUUAGAGCUAAGAAAUAACAUGUGAGUAAAGCCAUUAAACUGCAACUCAAACCAACUUGUGGCCAGAUCCACAGUUAUUGACCUUCAAAUCCAUCAUUAGAACUUAAUUUAUCAUAAAAAGCAAGCUCAGAUUUCCAGCAGUUAGCAUUUCGAAUAGAGGCAGCAUGUAUUUGACCAUAAGAUAUGUAGUUUGAGAUCUAACUAAACAUGUGAAAUCAGCUACAAUUUCAUCCACAAAAUUGCUAAGGAGACCAUUUCCUCAAUCAUGCAAAUCCAUAACAAGUUUAAGGUCUAAAGCAUAUUAAAACUAACAUUCAUUCAUGUUUACAAACAGAAAUAGUCAAUUAACGCAACCAUAACAAAUAACUUUAAGGAAUAACUAACAUUUCAUUGUAAAUCAAACAGAGGUACAUGUGCAGCGAGAUGUGUACCUAAACUUGCAAAUGAAGCUAAAUUUUGCCAAGUAAAGAUCAAGGAGUAUAGCUAACAAAGAGCUCAAAACAGAGCAGCAGCAGAGAUCAGGAGGACAAUUUGAAUCCCAGAUGAACAACAGAAAACAACAGCAGCAAUAAAACCAGCAAUUUCUUUCUAUCAAACCAAACUUUGAACUCAGAAAUGAUGCCAAAAUCCCAAAGUGACUAGAAGCAGCUUUCAAUCUUUAUAUCUCUCUGAUUUUUGGAGUGUUUUUAACAGCUUUUUAAACUCAAAUUUUAAAAAAAACCUAAAUUUCUAGUAGCUGUGAUCCUUUUUUGUCUAAGAUUGUGUGUGCUUUUUUUUUUAGUGAAUAUGCUGAAUAUUAACCUCCGUGUAUGAGGAGUAUAGGGUCCCUUUUAUAGAAUGUGAGAGUGCAAGAUGAUAGGAAUGAGAGAGAGUGAGGGAAUCUGCCAGCCUUCCUUAAAAUCAGGGAAUUGACAUCUUUUCAAAUCAGAAAAUGGACAGAUGUCCAAUUUCUGGAUAUUUCCUCUCACUCUCAUCUCUUUUCUUAACAGAUUGGGACAUAUGUCCCUAUUUUUAGAAACUUCUUUUAUUCCCAGAACCUAUGAACUUCUGAAAAGUUCACGCUAUUCUCUAUUAACCCAAAUAUUCAAAGAAUUAAGCCAAAUGACCAACAAGCUUAGGCCCAAACUAAUUGGGCUUUUUAUUUGUCAAGCAUGGCAACUCAUCAAGUUCCAAAACCAAAACAGCCCAAAAGAUAAAAAAUAAACAAAAUGACUGAUUUUGAACAAUUAAAGCUAACACUAUAAAAAUGAUAAAUACAAAGAGUUUAACAUGACUAAACUAACUGAAACAUUAAUGAUGAAGUUAAACUUGUUAAUUAGCAAAGGAAUCUAAAAAUCAGUGAUUAAGCUAAAAUUAGAGAACAAACAAAACAUAGACAAUCUACUAAUUAAUUCUAACUAAAUUACUGAAUUAAUUAAAAACGAUUCAAUUAACCUAAACACAUGCGAUUAACUAAUUGAGGUCAUGCAAUUGAAUUGUUAAUCUACUCAUGCAAAUACAGAAUCGGAUAAUAUGCAAAGUGUCUAACUAAAUUGAAUAAAAAUGUAAAACACAGGUUCAAGGAAAUUAUUAAUUCUGAACAAAAGAAAAGGAUCACGGAGUUACCAAUUGAAGUCUAAGAGCUGAUAAUAAAGAGACUGGGAAUCGAUAUUAACUCCGGUAAACCGAACAAACUUCGGUGGCCGUGGGAUGAACUGAGACUAACAUCAAUCGAUUGCUCUCAUCAAGAACAAUUAAUUUAUGUAGGUUUUGAGUCCAAACGGGCCCGGGUCGAGGAGUAAUUAGAAGAGGAAGGAUUUAGGUCCCCCCCCCCCCCCAGGAUUUUCAGAUCCGAAAUUGGAAGGAUUUGGUAGGGGUUUCGUAAAAAUUGAUGGUGGAUUUGGAUUGAGGGCGAAGAGAGGAUUAUAGGGUAUGAUUUUGAUGGGGUUUGGAGUAGCGUCGCCGUCGUAGGCAAUUUCCGGUGGCGGCAGACGGCGGAGGUGAGAGAGAGAGGUGAGGGAAUU
RNAcentral lists this long non-coding RNA (2351 nucleotides) under Nicotiana tabacum (common tobacco). RNAcentral's name for it is "long non-coding RNA (NTAB_LNC002388)". Lineage: Eukaryota; Viridiplantae; Streptophyta; Magnoliopsida; Solanales; Solanaceae. The record is from RNAcentral.